AGGACUGACCGUCUCGGGUGAUCGUUUGUUCGAUACCUUCACUAAUCGGGGCGUUGUCGAAUUCGAACUAGAUGUGACGGUGUCUGGACGUUGCGUUGAAAUUAAACAGAAUACGCUUUAAUUCGGGUGUUUAUGCCCAGGUUACUGCCGACAAUUAAUCGUAAACUAAACAUGUAGAAAGCAUUUUGGUUCCUUUUUUGGACGCGGGUUCGAUUCCCGCCGACUCCACCA
RNAcentral lists this transfer-messenger RNA (231 nucleotides) under Flavobacteriales bacterium. RNAcentral describes it as "partial transfer-messenger RNA". It matches the Rfam family "transfer-messenger RNA", at positions 132 to 374 of the family's 374-position model. From Rfam's summary of the family: Bacterial tmRNA, also known as 10Sa RNA or SsrA, is named for its dual tRNA and mRNA-like properties. Lineage: Bacteria; Pseudomonadati; Bacteroidota; Flavobacteriia; Flavobacteriales. The record is from RNAcentral.